This 513-nucleotide long non-coding RNA is filed under the name Pongo abelii (Sumatran orangutan). RNAcentral describes it as "lincRNA". Lineage: Eukaryota; Metazoa; Chordata; Mammalia; Primates; Hominidae. The record is from RNAcentral.
AUUUUGGAGCCGUAUCGGAAGCACAAGUGUCAGGGGCUGAAAGGCCGCCUUCUCCUGCGGGCUAACGGUGUGGGCGACAGCCCGCACAUUCAAAUGAGGGAGCGAUUAGACCGCGCUUGCUUCUGAAGACGGAUUUCUUGAGACUUUUAUGCGAGUGUGAGGGCCAGCAGGUGCACAUUUGAAGCUCAGUGGGAAGGAAGUGUUUUCCAAGCAACAGGAGACAGCAGAUGCAGACAGGGUCCAAUUACUGCUGCUUACGGCUGAUCACGCCAUUCACUUAUGUGUGGAUACCUGGCUUCUGGUCUCAGGCACCUAGUAUGGGGCUAUGCACAUGAGGUGGUGUCUCACUAUGUUAGGCCAGGUUGGUCUCCAACUCCUGGCCUCAAGUGAUCCUCCCCAUCCAGCCUCCCAAAGUGCUGGGAUUACAGGCAUGAUCUACUGCACCUGGCCUGCAACCAUCCUUUUAUCCCCCUGAUUAUUUUCAAUGUGUUGUUGGUUGAAUCCACAAAUGCA